GACGAACCGUCCGAACGUUAUUCGGAAUCACUGGGCUUAAAGGGGGCGUAGGCGGCGCGGAAAGUUGGGUGUGAAAUACCUCGGCUCAACCGAGGAACUGCGCCCAAAACUACCGUGCUCGAGGGAGAUAGAGGUGAGCGGAACUUAGGGUGGAGCGGUGAAAUGCGUUGAUAUCCUAAGGAACACCGGUGGCGAAAGCGGCUCACUGGAUCUCUUCUGACGCUGAGGCACGGAAGCUAGGGGAGCGAACGGG
Molecule: ribosomal RNA, 253 nt
Filed under: uncultured bacterium
Lineage: Bacteria
Description: partial 16S ribosomal RNA
Rfam family: Bacterial small subunit ribosomal RNA
Source: RNAcentral